CCCUUAGAUGUUCUGGGCUGCACGCGCGCUACACUGAUGCGUUCAACGAGUUUAUGACCUUGCCCGAUAGGGUUGGGUAAUCUUUUUAAAUCGCAUCGUGAUGGGGAUAGAUUAUUGCAAUUAUUAAUCUUCAACGAGGAAUUCCUAGUAAGCGCGAGUCAUCAGCUCGUGCUGAUUACGUCCCUGCCCUUUGUACACACCGCCCGUCGCUCCUACCGAUUGAACGUUUUAGUGAGGUACUCGGACUGAGCCUCAGAAGAUUCACGUCUUUUGUGCUGCUCGGGAAGAUUCCCAAACUUGAGCGUUUAGAGGAAGUAAAAGUCGUAACA
This 329-nucleotide ribosomal RNA is filed under the name uncultured eukaryote. RNAcentral describes it as "partial 18S ribosomal RNA". It matches the Rfam family "Eukaryotic small subunit ribosomal RNA", at positions 1470 to 1796 of the family's 1831-position model. The record is from RNAcentral.